This 216-nucleotide ribosomal RNA is filed under the name Exiguobacterium indicum. RNAcentral describes it as "partial 16S rRNA. Bacterial SSU". It matches the Rfam family "Bacterial small subunit ribosomal RNA", at positions 1 to 197 of the family's 1533-position model. The record is from RNAcentral. Lineage: Bacteria; Bacillati; Bacillota; Bacilli; Caryophanales.
ACUUCAUGGAGAGUUUGAUCCUGGCUCAGGACGAACGCUGGCGGCGUGCCUAAUACAUGCAAGUCGAGCGCAGGAAACUGACGGAACUCUUCGGAGGGAAGGCAGCGGAAUGAGCGGCGGACGGGUGAGUAACACGUAAGGAACCUGCCUCAAGGAUUGGGAUAACUCCGAGAAAUCGGAGCUAAUACCGGAUAGUUCAUCGGACCGCAUGGUCCG